Molecule: ribosomal RNA, 1373 nt
Filed under: uncultured bacterium
Lineage: Bacteria
Description: bacterial SSU rRNA
Rfam family: Bacterial small subunit ribosomal RNA
Source: RNAcentral
GAUGAACGCUGGCGGCGUGCCUAAUACAUGCAAGUCGAGCGAACGGACGAGAAGCUUGCUUCUCUGAUGUUAGCGGCGGACGGGUGAGUAACACGUGGAUAACCUACCUAUAAGACUGGGAUAACUUCGGGAAACCGGAGCUAAUACCGGAUAAUAUUUUGAACCGCAUGGUUCAAAAGUGAAAGACGGUCUUGCUGUCACUUAUAGAUGGAUCCGCGCUGCAUUAGCUAGUUGGUAAGGUAACGGCUUACCAAGGCAACGAUGCAUAGCCGACCUGAGAGGGUGAUCGGCCACACUGGAACUGAGACACGGUCCAGACUCCUACGGGAGGCAGCAGUAGGGAAUCUUCCGCAAUGGGCGAAAGCCUGACGGAGCAACGCCGCGUGAGUGAUGAGGGUCUUCGGAUCGUAAAACUCUGUUAUUAGGGAAGAACAUAUGUGUAAGUAACUGUGCACAUCUUGACGGUACCUAAUCAGAAAGCCACGGCUAACUACGUGCCAGCAGCCGCGGUAAUACGUAGGUGGCAAGCGUUAUCCGGAAUUAUUGGGCGUAAAGCGCGCGUAGGCGGUUUUUUAAGUCUGAUGUGAAAGCCCACGGCUCAACCGUGGAGGGUCAUUGGAAACUGGAAAACUUGAGUGCAGAAGAGGAAAGUGGAAUUCCAUGUGUAGCGGUGAAAUGCGCAGAGAUAUGGAGGAACACCAGUGGCGAAGGCGACUUUCUGGUCUGUAACUGACGCUGAUGUGCGAAAGCGUGGGGAUCAAACAGGAUUAGAUACCCUGGUAGUCCACGCCGUAAACGAUGAGUGCUAAGUGUUAGGGGGUUUCCGCCCCUUAGUGCUGCAGCUAACGCAUUAAGCACUCCGCCUGGGGAGUACGACCGCAAGGUUGAAACUCAAAGGAAUUGACGGGGACCCGCACAAGCGGUGGAGCAUGUGGUUUAAUUCGAAGCAACACGAAGAACCUUACCAAAUCUUGACAUCCUUUGACAACUCUAGAGAUAGAGCCUUCCCCUUCGGGGGGGCAAAGUGACAGGUGGUGCAUGGUUGUCGUCAGCUCGUGUCGUGAGAUGUUGGGUUAAGUCCCGCAACGAGCGCAACCCUUAAGCUUAGUUGCCAUCAUUAAGUUGGGCACUCUAAGUUGACUGCCGGUGACAAACCGGAGGAAGGUGGGGAUGACGUCAAAUCAUCAUGCCCCUUAUGAUUUGGGCUACACACGUGCUGCAAUGGACAAUACAAAGGGCAGCGAAACCGCGAGGUCAAGCAAAUCCCAUAAAGUUGUUCUCAGUUCGGAUUGUAGUCUGCAACUCGACUACAUGAAGCUGGAAUCGCUAGUAAUCGUAGAUCAGCAUGCUACGGUGAAUACGUUCCCGGGUCU